AGGAAAGUAGCUCAGUGGGUAGAGCAUCUGGCCACGAACCAGACGGUCGAGGGUUCAACUCCCUCCUUUUCAC
RNAcentral lists this transfer RNA (73 nucleotides) under Candidatus Competibacteraceae bacterium. RNAcentral's name for it is "tRNA-Arg". It matches the Rfam family "tRNA". From Rfam's summary of the family: Transfer RNA (tRNA) molecules are approximately 80 nucleotides in length. Their secondary structure includes four short double-helical elements and three loops (D, anti-codon, and T loops). Lineage: Bacteria; Pseudomonadati; Pseudomonadota; Gammaproteobacteria; Candidatus Competibacteraceae. The record is from RNAcentral. RNAcentral also lists the same sequence under 1 other name.